This 526-nucleotide ribosomal RNA is filed under the name uncultured bacterium. Its description in RNAcentral is "bacterial SSU rRNA". It matches the Rfam family "Bacterial small subunit ribosomal RNA", at positions 791 to 1339 of the family's 1533-position model. The record is from RNAcentral.
UAGUCCACGCCGUAAACGAUGUCAACUAGCCGUCGGGCUCAUUUAAGGGUUUGGUGGCGCAGCUAACGCGCUAAGUUGACCGCCUGGGGAGUACGCCGGCAACGGUAAAACUCAAAGGAAUUGACGGGGGCCCGCACAAGCGGUGGAGCAUGUGGUUUAAUUCGAUGCAACGCGAAGAACCUUACCUACCCUUGACAUCCUCAGAACUUGUUAGAGAUAACUUGGUGCCUUCGGGAACUGAGUGACAGGUGCUGCAUGGCCGUCGUCAGCUCGUGUCGUGAGAUGUUCGGUUAAGUCCGGCAACGAGCGCAACCCACGUCUUUAGUUACCAGCAUUUAGUUGGGUACUCUAGAGAGACCGCCGGUGAUAAGCCGGAGGAAGGUGUGGAUGACGUCAAGUCCUCAUGGCCCUUACGGGUUGGGCUACACACGUGCUACAAUGGUAGUGACAAUGGGUUAAUCCCCAAAAGCUAUCUCAGUUCGGAUUGGGGUCUGCAACUCGACCCCAUGAAGUUGGAAUCGCUAGU